Ursus americanus (American black bear) is the source of this 103-nucleotide small nuclear RNA. The record is from Ensembl. NCBI's taxonomy places the organism in Eukaryota, Metazoa, Chordata, Mammalia, Carnivora, Ursidae.
GUGUUCACUUUGGCAGCUCCUAUACUAAAAUUGGAAUAAUACAGAGAUUAGCAUGGCCCCUGCACAGGAUGACAUGCAAAUUCAUGAAGAAAUAACAACCCAA